Molecule: microRNA precursor, 111 nt
Filed under: Phaseolus vulgaris (common bean)
Lineage: Eukaryota; Viridiplantae; Streptophyta; Magnoliopsida; Fabales; Fabaceae
Description: pre miRNA mir-399
Rfam family: mir-399 microRNA precursor family
About the family: mir-399 was identified in both Arabidopsis thaliana and Oryza sativa computationally and was later experimentally verified. mir-399 is thought to target mRNAs coding for a phosphatase transporter. The mature sequence is excised from the 3' arm of the hairpin.
Source: Rfam by way of RNAcentral
AUGCAUAUUACAGGGCAACUUCUCCUUUGGCAGUUUAGUAUACUAUCUUACUCAAAUUAUAUAUAUGCAUAGUUACAACCUGCCAAAGAAGAUUUGCCCAGUGAUUCUCCU